Molecule: ribosomal RNA, 208 nt
Filed under: uncultured bacterium
Lineage: Bacteria
Description: partial 16S ribosomal RNA
Rfam family: Bacterial small subunit ribosomal RNA
Source: RNAcentral
UUCUGUAGGCGGAUUUGCAAGUCAGAGGUUAAAUACUUCGGCUCAACUGAAGUGAAGCUUUUGAUACUGCAUUUCUAGAGGCAACUAGGGGGUAGCGGAACGUAUGGUGUAGCAGUGAAAUGCGUUGAUAUCAUACGGAACACCAAGGGGGAAGCCAGCUACCUGGGGUUGAUCUGACGCUGAGAGACGAAAGCGUGGGGAGCGAAAC